AAAUUGAAGAGUUUGAUCAAGGCUCAGAUUGAACGCUGGCGGCAGGCCUAACACAUGCAAGUCGAACGACAACAGCAAACAGCUGGCUGUGUCGCUGUCGAGUGGCGGAGGGGUGAGUAAUUUCGGGGUACAGGCCGGAUGUAGUGGG
This 148-nucleotide ribosomal RNA is filed under the name Escherichia coli. Its description in RNAcentral is "partial 16S ribosomal RNA". It matches the Rfam family "Bacterial small subunit ribosomal RNA", at positions 1 to 142 of the family's 1533-position model. Lineage: Bacteria; Pseudomonadati; Pseudomonadota; Gammaproteobacteria; Enterobacterales; Enterobacteriaceae. The record is from RNAcentral.